AGAGUUUGAUCAUGGCUCAGAUUGAACGCUGGCGGCAGGCCUAACACAUGCAAGUCGAGCGGUAGCACAGAGAGCUUGCUCUCGGGUGACGAGCGGCGGACGGGUGAGUAAUGUCUGGGAAACUGCCUGAUGGAGGGGGAUAACUACUGGAAACGGUAGCUAAUACCGCAUAAUGUCGCAAGACCAAAGUGGGGGACCUUCGGGCCUCAUGCCAUCAGAUGUGCCCAGAUGGGAUUAGCUAGUAGGUGGGGUAACGGCUCACCUAGGCGACGAUCCCUAGCUGGUCUGAGAGGAUGACCAGCCACACUGGAACUGAGACACGGUCCAGACUCCUACGGGAGGCAGCAGUGGGGAAUAUUGCACAAUGGGCGCAAGCCUGAUGCAGCCAUGCCGCGUGUGUGAAGAAGGCCUUCGGGUUGUAAAGCACUUUCAGCGGGGAGGAAGGCAUUAAGGUUAAUAACCUUGGCGAUUGACGUUACCCGCAGAAGAAGCACCGGCUAACUCCGUGCCAGCAGCCGCGGUAAUACGGAGGGUGCAAGCGUUAAUCGGAAUUACUGGGCGUAAAGCGCACGCAGGCGGUCUGUCAAGUCGGAUGUGAAAUCCCCGGGCUCAACCUGGGAACUGCAUUCGAAACUGGCAGGCUAGAGUCUUGUAGAGGGGGGUAGAAUUCCAGGUGUAGCGGUGAAAUGCGUAGAGAUCUGGAGGAAUACCGGUGGCGAAGGCGGCCCCCUGGACAAAGACUGACGCUCAGGUGCGAAAGCGUGGGGAGCAAACAGGAUUAGAUACCCUGGUAGUCCACGCCGUAAACGAUGUCGAUUUGGAGGUUGUGCCCUUGAGGCGUGGCUUCCGGAGCUAACGCGUUAAAUCGACCGCCUGGGGAGUACGGCCGCAAGGUUAAAACUCAAAUGAAUUGACGGGGGCCCGCACAAGCGGUGGAGCAUGUGGUUUAAUUCGAUGCAACGCGAAGAACCUUACCUGGUCUUGACAUCCACAGAACUUUCCAGAGAUGGAUUGGUGCCUUCGGGAACUGUGAGACAGGUGCUGCAUGGCUGUCGUCAGCUCGUGUUGUGAAAUGUUGGGUUAAGUCCCGCAACGAGCGCAACCCUUAUCCUUUGUUGCCAGCGGUUCGGCCGGGAACUCAAAGGAGACUGCCAGUGAUAAACUGGAGGAAGGUGGGGAUGACGUCAAGUCAUCAUGGCCCUUACGACCAGGGCUACACACGUGCUACAAUGGCAUAUACAAAGAGAAGCGACCUCGCGAGAGCAAGCGGACCUCAUAAAGUAUGUCGUAGUCCGGAUUGGAGUCUGCAACUCGACUCCAUGAAGUCGGAAUCGCUAGUAAUCGUAGAUCAGAAUGCUACGGUGAAUACGUUCCCGGGCCUUGUACACACCGCCCGUCACACCAUGGGAGUGGGUUGCAAAAGAAGUAGGUAGCUUAACCUUCGGGAGGGCGCUUACCACUUUGUGAUUCAUGACUGGGGUGAAGUCGUAACAAGGUAACCGUAGGGGAACCUGCGGUUGGAUCACCU
Molecule: ribosomal RNA, 1528 nt
Filed under: Klebsiella pneumoniae
Lineage: Bacteria; Pseudomonadati; Pseudomonadota; Gammaproteobacteria; Enterobacterales; Enterobacteriaceae
Description: bacterial SSU rRNA
Rfam family: Bacterial small subunit ribosomal RNA
Source: RNAcentral